CGGGGGGUGCGAGCGUUGCUCGGAAUCACUGGGCGUAAAGCGUACGCAGGCUGUUGUACAAGUCGGGUGUGAAAGCCCGGGGCUCAACCCCGGAAUUGCGCCCGAAACUGUAUGACUUGAAUGCGGGAGAGGGAAGCGGAAUUCCUGGUGUAGAGGUGAAAUUCGUAGAUAUCAGGAGGAACACCAGUGGCGAAAGCGGCUUCCUGGCCCGACAUUGACGCUCAUGUACGAAAGCGCGGGGAGCAAACAGGAUUAGAUACCCUGGUAGUCCGCGCCGUAAACGAUGAGUGCUAGCUGCUGGGAAUGUUUACCGUCUCAGUGGCGAAGCCAACGCAUUAAGCACUCCGCCUGGGAAGUACGGCCGCAAGGCUA
This 372-nucleotide ribosomal RNA is filed under the name uncultured organism. RNAcentral's name for it is "bacterial SSU rRNA". It matches the Rfam family "Bacterial small subunit ribosomal RNA", at positions 526 to 896 of the family's 1533-position model. The record is from RNAcentral.